Molecule: long non-coding RNA, 1553 nt
Filed under: Nicotiana benthamiana
Lineage: Eukaryota; Viridiplantae; Streptophyta; Magnoliopsida; Solanales; Solanaceae
Description: long non-coding RNA (NBEN_LNC021491)
Source: RNAcentral
CGCAUUCUUGACGUGAUUUUUGGCUCCAUACCAUGUAAAGCUCUGCGAUGUGAGGGACGAGUCUGCGGUCCGCAUGUGUGUUCUGCGACCACGUACUAGACCGCAUUUUGGCAAUUUGUGCAAAGUCAUGCUCUUUUCCUCUCUUUUUGCGUCCAUUUUCAUAUCCUUGGUGUUCCCUUCCGCUUGUGCUGUAAGAACAACAAAUCUACAUGAGUAUUAGUUAUAAUUGCAUUAAAACAAGAUAGAAUCUAAGCAAUUAGUAUUGAAAUGCGCCGAAAUUCUUCGGCACAUCACCUAGUGGCCCCAAACCAUUAUGUCUUGCUCCCCACUUACUUAUUAGUUUGAUAGCAUUUAAUUCCCUACUUUCAGGUUGCUAAUAUUAACCUAAUUCCCUAAUAUUUUCAUUCCCAAAUUGCCCCUGAAACCCCCUCACUAUUAAUUCCCCAAACCAAUAUGUUCAAACCUAAAGAGAAUUACCUAAAACUAAUUCUAAUUAACAGCUAUAACCAAUCUUCCUGACCAAAUUCAACCAUUGAUUCAUUAAGCAAAAGAUCAAGAUCAAAAUGGCAUCAAAACAAUGAGUUGAUCAUAUUGAGAAAAGAACAAACAGAGAGACAAUAAGCUAAACUGAAAUAGUAUAAAUGGAGGAAUGAGCUUAUCACGUGAAAAACUAAAGAACAGGGAUGGCAUAGCAAUAGGGAACGGGCAAACACAACUCUAACUCAAAUAUACAUACAAGAUGCAGCAUUGUUGAAAGUAUAUUUGACACGGAAUUCCCUUAAGCGAGGAACACAAACAGAAACACAGCUUAACAAGGACAGUUCGUAGAGAUCAAAAAAACUACAAAAGAUGACCUAAUUGAUGAAAUUUAAUUGAUCAACUACAUAGUUUAUAACAUAUAAUCACCAGUUAGAAAAUUUGGACCAAAGAAAAAGGUCCGUAAAAGGGGGAGGAGAAAAUAGCUGACAAAAAUAAUGAAAUUAAUACAACAGUACAAACAAAUAACAAUAUACCCAAAAAUAGAACAGACAAAAGAAAGGAAAAAUACCUCAUGAACUCAUAAACCAUACGGACUCGACUUGAAACUCUCACUUGAGACUUUUUGGGGUAAAAAUUGACUUUUAAUCGAGUGUUCUCGUCGACUAAAGUCGAUUGAGGCUCUCGUUUCUUUUAUUUUGGACAAAUUCCAGCCUGGGUCUUGUCUAGGGUUUAUACAGUUCGAUUUGGGAUUCGAAAGAUUCCGACAUGAUUCGAAGGGAACCAGUGGUGGUUCAGAGGUGAGGGACGCCUAGUGGAUAUCUGGUGUGAGUUUGGGGUGGAUUGGGUUUGGUUCAUGGUUUUCCGAAUCUUCGAUUACAGAUUCGAGAAGCUGGGGGGAAGAUUCGAAGUAACGGUUAAUGGAUUCGUGUUCAGGGUGGUUAGAAGUACCUAGGGUGUUGGUUUGGUUACUGGCAGCGUCGAUUCCGCCGGGUUUCAGGCGGAUGAAUAGGGUGGCGGCUAGGGUUUAGCCCUUGAUUGUCUCUGAGAGAGAGAUGAUGAAUAGUGGAGUGGGG